UACGUAGGGUGCAGGCGUUGUCCGGAAUUAUUGGGCGUAAAGAGCUUGUAGGCGGUUUGUCGCGUCUGCUGUGAAAUUUCGGGGCUCAACCCCGAACUUGCAGUGGGUACGGGCAGACUAGAGUGUGGUAGGGGAGACUGGAAUUCCUGGUGUAGCGGUGAAAUGCGCAGAUAUCAGGAGGAACACCGAUGGCGAAGGCAGGUCUCUGGGCCAUAACUGACGCUGAGAAGCGAAAGCAUGGGGAGCGAACAGG
This 253-nucleotide ribosomal RNA is filed under the name uncultured bacterium. RNAcentral's name for it is "partial 16S ribosomal RNA". It matches the Rfam family "Bacterial small subunit ribosomal RNA", at positions 524 to 776 of the family's 1533-position model. The record is from RNAcentral.